RNAcentral lists this ribosomal RNA (425 nucleotides) under uncultured bacterium. Its description in RNAcentral is "partial 16S ribosomal RNA". It matches the Rfam family "Bacterial small subunit ribosomal RNA", at positions 354 to 796 of the family's 1533-position model. The record is from RNAcentral.
GUGGGGAAUCUUGCGCAAUGGGCGAAAGCCUGACGCAGCCAUGCCGCGUGAAUGAUGAAGGUCUUAGGAUUGUAAAAUUCUUUCACCGGGGACGAUAAUGACGGUACCCGGAGAAGAAGCCCCGGCUAACUUCGUGCCAGCAGCCGCGGUAAUACGAAGGGGGCUAGCGUUGCUCGGAAUUACUGGGCGUAAAGGGCGCGUAGGCGGACAGUUUAGUCAGAGGUGAAAGCCCAGGGCUCAACCUUGGAAUUGCCUUUGAUACUGGCUGUCUUGAGUUUGGGAGAGGUGAGUGGAACUCCGAGUGUAGAGGUGAAAUUCGUAGAUAUUCGGAAGAACACCAGUGGCGAAGGCGACUCACUGGCCCAAUACUGACGCUGAGGCGCGAAAGCGUGGGGAGCAAACAGGAUUAGAUACCCUUGUAGUCC